AACGAAGUGAAUUGAAAUAUCUUAGUAACUUUAGGAAAAGAAAUCAAACGAGAUUGUUAUUUGGUGCAAACUAAAUAACAAGAGCCUAUUAACAAAACUUGUUAAAGUAAAAUGGAUUAAAAUCUGUUUGAAUAUAGGGGAACCUUCCUCUAAGGCUAAAUAUGAUAUAUAAGCGAUAGUGAAAAGUACCGUGAGGUAAAAUUUGAAAUAGUAGUUUUAUAAGCAGCUCGAGUGAAAAUUUAAAUAAGUAAUAAGAGUGUACCUUUUGCAUAAUGGGUCAGCAAGUUAAUUUUAGAUGCAAGCAAUGAUUUCGUGCGCUUUGCGCAUGGAACUAGCUUAGAUAAACCAAUUAUGAGAAAAUGAAUAAGUAUCUAGAAUUAGACCCGAAGGCUAGUGAUCUUACCAUGGUCAGGAUUAUAAAAGUCCGAACGGGUUAUCGUUGUAUAGAUAUCCGAAGAAUUGUGGUAAGUUAGUGAAAGACAAAACUGACUAGUAUAGCUGGUUUUCCGCGAAACCUAUAUGAGUAGGUAAUUUAACUAACAUCUUAGCAGGUACAGAACUGUGAUCUCGGACAAUAUCUUUUGAUUUUGUCAACAUCGGGGGGUUGUAGUGACUUUACCGGAGAGUAUUUGCACUCGGAAUGGCAAAGAUGAAUGUUGAAUAAUCGGACAUAGUGCGAUAAGGUUGUAUGUCUAAAGGGAAACAGCCCAGAACAAGAGUUAAGGUUCCAAAAUUAUUGUUGAGUGAAAUUAAGGAUGUUUUUUUUAAAAACAAUCAGGAAAUAGGCUUAGAAGCGGCCAUUUUUUGAAGACCUCGUAACAGAGCACUGAUUAAUUAAAUUUAGAAAAAAACACCGAAAAUUUAACGGAUCUAAACAAUAUACCGAAACCUUGUACACAUAUUUAUAAUAUUAAUAUUGUAUAUGUGGGGUAGCGGAACAUUGGAUAAAUAUUAAUUAUUAUUUCUUCUAAGAAGUAAUAAGUAUGGAUUAUUAUUAAAAAUAUUUAUUUAUUAAAGAUAUUUAUGUAAUAUUAUUAUACCUAAAAGGUAUAAUGUUUAGAUGAAUAUAUAGAUAGAUUAUAUCUGUCUUUAUUAUUAAUAUAAUCCAUCGAUAUAAUCCAAGAGAGAAUGCUGACAUGAGUAACGAAAAAGGAAUAUCCUCGCCUUAAGCUUAUGGUAUUAUAUUUAAUUUUCGGUAUCUAAAAGUAUUAAUCAAAAGGUAAUUUUGAUGAUAUUUAUAUAUAAAUACUUAAAAAUAAAAAACAAAACCUUUAACAAGUAAUAAAGGUUCUGGAAAAUUUUUUAUUUUUAUUAAGUGAAGUAUAAUGCAAUAUAGGUAUAUUAUAAUUUAUAUAAUUUUCUUGUUACAAGUUUUCAAGAUUGUAUAGAUUUUAUCUAUAUUAAAUAUAUUUUCUUUUUUAUACUAUUGUAUAAGUAAGGUUUAUAUAUACCGUACCUAGAUACUAUCACAAGUAAGCAAGUAGAGAAUACAAAGGCGUUUGAGUGAACAAUCAUUAAGGAACUCGGCAAAUUGACUACCGUAACUUCGGGAUAAGGAGGGCCAUUAUGAUUAGUUUAACAUAUCUUAUGAUAUGAUUUAAUUAAACUAAUCAUAAGAGGAAACAUGAAAUAAUGUUGUACGACUGUUUAAUAAAAACACAGCACUCUGCAAAGAUAAAAUAUCAAAGUAUUGAGUGUGAUGUCUGCCCAAUGUCGGCUGGGUAACGGAUUUACCUUGGUUUUUAACUGAGGUUUUGAAGGAUACCCCGAUUAAUGGCGGCCUUACCUAUGAGGGUCCUAAGGUAGCGAAAUACCUUGGCCGUUAAAUGCGGUCCUGCAUGAAUGACUUAACGAUACAACAGCUGUCUCGAUGAUUGUCUCAGUGAAAUUGGAAUAGCAGUGCAGAUACUGUUUACCUCUAGAUAGACGAGAAGACCCUAUGCAGCUUUACUGUUACUAAUUGCAAGAGUGGAAAUUUAGGAUGAUUUCGAGUGUAUAAGGUAGUUGUUUGAUAACAAUGAAACACCUUUAUUCGUUUCCUACUAUAUGCUCUUGAGGAUUGGGAGGCAGUUUAUGCGGGGCACAGAUCCCACAAAAAGUACCUGGGUAUAUCCAAAGUUCAUUUUGUAAAUUUGUAAAUUUCUUUACAAAUAUUUUAAUUUGUUAUAAUUAUAUUCAUAAUUAUACAGUUAUUGUUAGAUUAAGUUCAAUAUUUAUUUUUUAUUUAAGUAAGAUUUUAACUAUAUGGUGAAUAGAUGUAUUUUAAACUUUACCCGGGGAGGGAGUGAUCCAACUCCGGGAUAUUUAAAAGUUUUUUCUCAUAUUAAUAUUGUAUUUUAUCUUUAUUGAUAUGAUAAUUAAUUAUACUUUAAAAGUUUAAUGGCUAAAUCUUGCUUUACUGUAUGACCUACAAGUCUAUCAGUCGCGUAAGCGGGGCAUAUGAUCACAAGAUGCAUAAAGGAAAGGUCUUGGAUUAUAGAAAAAGUUACGCUAGGGAUAACAGGCUAAUUUGCGCAAGAGAGUACAAAUUGAGUGCGCGGUUUGGCACCUCGAUGUCGGCUUAGCUCAUCCACAUGAAUGCAAAAAUCAUGAAGGGUUCGACUGUUCGUCGAUUAAAGAGCUACAUGAGCUGGGUUUAAUACGUCGUGAGACAGUAUGGUUUCUAUCUUCUAGAGGGAAUUAAAGUAGAAUAAAGAUAGCCCCUUCGUACGAAAGGAGUUGGGUAUAUUGACCUAUGGUUUACCUGUUGUUUAUGUUAUAUAUUAUUAUACAUAAUAUAUCAUUUACUUAUACUUAAGUAAAUUGUUCACAUAGGCAUGGCAGGAAGGCUACGUCAGUUAAAGAUAAGUGCUGAAAGCAUUUAAGCGCGAAGCUUACUUUAGGAUACUUUUAAACGUAGUAGAACACUACGA
This 2912-nucleotide ribosomal RNA is filed under the name Aspergillus sergii. RNAcentral's name for it is "large subunit ribosomal RNA". It matches the Rfam family "Bacterial large subunit ribosomal RNA". Lineage: Eukaryota; Fungi; Ascomycota; Eurotiomycetes; Eurotiales; Aspergillaceae. The record is from RNAcentral.